RNAcentral lists this transfer RNA (68 nucleotides) under Dipodomys ordii (Ord's kangaroo rat). It matches the Rfam family "tRNA". From Rfam's summary of the family: Transfer RNA (tRNA) molecules are approximately 80 nucleotides in length. Their secondary structure includes four short double-helical elements and three loops (D, anti-codon, and T loops). The record is from Rfam by way of RNAcentral. Lineage: Eukaryota; Metazoa; Chordata; Mammalia; Rodentia; Heteromyidae.
GGUAUUGUGGCUUACUGGUAGAGUGCUUGCUUAUCAUGCAUGAAGCCCUGGGUUCAACCUCAGUACCA